GCAUAUCAAUAAGCGGAGGAAAAGAAACCAACAGGGAUUGCCUCAGUAACGGCGAGUGAAGCGGCAACAGCUCAAAUUUGAAAUCUGGCUCUUUCAGGGUCCGAGUUGUAAUUUGUAGAAGAUGCUUUGGGUGUGGCUCCGGUCUAAGUUCCUUGGAACAGGACGUCAUAGAGGGUGAGAAUCCCGUACGUGACUGGGUGCCUUCGCUCGUGUAAAGCUCUUUCGACGAGUCGAGUUGUUUGGGAAUGCAGCUCAAAAUGGGUGGUAAAUUUCAUCUAAAGCUAAAUAUUGGCCAGAGACCGAUAGCGCACAAGUAGAGUGAUCGAAAGAUGAAAAGCACUUUGGAAAGAGAGUUAAACAGUACGUGAAAUUGUUGAAAGGGAAGCGCUUGCAACCAGACUUGCGCGCUGUUGAUCAUCCGAGCUUUUGCCCGGUGCACUCGGCAGCGCUCAGGCCAGCAUCGGUUUUGGUGGGCGGAUAAAGGCCUUGGGAAUGUAGCUCUCUUCGGGGAGUGUUAUAGCCCUCGGUGCAAUGCGCCCUACCGGGACCGAGGACCGCGCUUCGGCUAGGAUGCUGGCGUAAUGGUUGUAAGCGACCCGUCUUGAAACACGGACCAAGGAGUCUAACAUCUAUGCGAGUGUUUGGGUGUCAAACCCAUACGCGUAAUGAAAGUGAACGGAGGUGAGAACCCUUAAGGGUGCAUCAUCGACCGAUCCUGAUGUCUUCGGAUGGAUUUGAGUAAGAGCAUAGCUGUUGGGACCCGAAAGAUGGUGAACUAUGCCUGAAUAGGGUGAAGCCAGAGGAAACUCUGGUGGAGGCUCGCAGCGGUUCUGACGUGCAAAUCGAUCGUCAAAUUUGGGUAUAGGGGGCGAAAGACUAAUCGAACCAUCUAGUAGCUGGUUUCCUGCCGA
Molecule: ribosomal RNA, 911 nt
Filed under: Hyaloscypha finlandica
Lineage: Eukaryota; Fungi; Ascomycota; Leotiomycetes; Helotiales; Hyaloscyphaceae
Description: LSU rRNA
Rfam family: Eukaryotic large subunit ribosomal RNA
Source: RNAcentral